GCAGCCGCGCCCUAGUAGCUUCCAGCCCGCCUGGCGGCCGGCGUGGGUCCGGCCCGAAGCUCCCUCACGCCAACCCUCCCGCAAAAGCAGCCCCUGUCGGCGCCCCCUCUACUGUUCUGAGCUUCACUCAAGGCCCACUCCGCCAAAAAUAUGUACUUAAAAAAAGAUCCUAACCCCCAAAGAAAGAAUGAAAAUGCGGAAGCAGGAUCUCACAGGCCUUUCGAGAUCCUGUAAUCAUAUUUUCCCCUUCCAGCCCUUUAGGAUCUGUUUCUUGGCUGUUUGUUUUUAAGGUCUAAUAGGAAAGGAGAAAUGCUUAGUUAAGUGAACAAUCCCAGUCUAAAAUAGGUCCUUCCCGCUCCUCCAUCCCGAAGAGUCAGGAGAAUUGUAACAUCAGGUUAAAUAACGAAGAAACGACCCUCGUGGAAAUUUUCCAAGAGCAUCUCUACGGCCCCAACCCCCCACUGCUGCAUCUAUGAAGGAAGCUGAAAAGGAGGAUUUCUUUCCUUUCUAUCCCUGGCAUUGGUACUCACUACAUAAAUGGUGAAGAUACUGACACACCCACUCAUCUGACACCCAAAUGAUGUCUCCCUGGUUGAAGAAUCCCUAAAAUCCUUUGCACAUUAUCUCCAUAGGUUUUGUCAGAAUGCAAGUCUCUCCUUCAGGUUUGAUUGACUCCAUUGCAUCGGCUUCUGGAGGGGAAAAGCCUGCCAGCACCCACACUGUUUACGUUUUCUACUGUCUCCAGAGCUGCUGGAGUUUAAUUCUCGGAAGUUAAAUGUAGUAAUGAUGCGAUUGAAUGGAGUAGCAUAGUUUUUAUAUUAGAAAAAAAAGUUUAAACUAAGGAAAUGCAAAACAGGCAAAUAAAAUAAACCAUCCAUCUUGUUUUAAUCUUGACAUUUCCCUGCUCACAAACCUUUAGAUUGUUUCACUUACUAAAAAUGUCCAUAUUUCUUAAUUUGGCUGUCGAGGCAUAUUACAGUUGGAUUCCAUAAAACCUAAUUUGCCAUUUUUCCUAUAUACCCUAUGAUCCCACCAAAGUGUGCUUUUCCCUUUUCCCAAUGAUAACCUUUA
This is a non-coding RNA of Vicugna pacos (alpaca), 1071 nucleotides long. Lineage: Eukaryota; Metazoa; Chordata; Mammalia; Artiodactyla; Camelidae. The record is from RefSeq and is a predicted model, not a curated record.